Molecule: unclassified non-coding RNA, 1146 nt
Filed under: Hevea brasiliensis (rubber tree)
Lineage: Eukaryota; Viridiplantae; Streptophyta; Magnoliopsida; Malpighiales; Euphorbiaceae
Source: RNAcentral
AGAGCAUUGAAUAAGAUAUUGCAGGUAACCUGUUUCUAUCCCUUCUUAUACUAGACCUAUAUAUUGCUAACUUGAAUCUAUUAAGAAUUAAAAUUUGUCAAAUGUGGCUUGGCAUGAACUUAUCAUAAUUCAAAUGGAAAUUUAUGUUAAGUUGAAGGGAAAGAUAUGGUGGCAGUUAUAUAACUAGGAAAGUUAUUUACGAUUGAUUUCCCAAGAAUGCAUUUGCAUUUUUGGAGAAUCUGUUUACAUAAAUGAAUUCUAUAUUUUGUUCAUUUGGAAAUUGAAUGAAUUACUUCAUCAUUCUGCUGCAAACAUGUUAUUGAGAUUGUUUUGACUGCCAUCCUUAGUGUUGAGAUUAAUGCCCUGUCGUCCUCCAGUUUAGUAACAUGAUUUGAUAUUAUUAUUGUUGUUGAUGUUGUAGCUGUUGUAUUUUUAAUAAUAAUUAUAUGGUUUACAUGAUUGAUUGUCAAUAUUGCUUUAAAAAAAAUUAAAGAAAACAGUUUCUAAUUCUGAUAGAGUUAGGGACCUGUGUAAAUAAAGAGAUGAAGAAUAUAGGAGAAAAUGUAAUACUCUUGUAUUGAAUAAAAUGGCAGAAUGCCUUUGUUCUCAAAUUCAAAUACUGUAAUCUACUACUCUCAACCUCAACAAGAAACAACAAGAAUAAAAUUCCUUGGAGACCACCUCCCAAACUAGCCGAGGGCUAGCCCUAGCUACACAGCUGAAAUUUAAGAUAAAACAUCACACUCUUUUCUGUUAAUCCAGCUCAUACUUAUACAGGUCUCAGGUCCCUCAAUUCUAUUUGCAUCUCCAAGUGGCAGCACUCUUGUAAUUCCCUCUAAAAGUAACUUCCCCAAUAACAACCUCCAGCUGCAUACUUCUAGAAUCUUGCCUCUUAACUCCAUGUUCCUCCAUUCUUCUUCCCCUACGUAGCAUACCCUCAAUUGUCUUGGGCCUGGAUCUCCAUUUUCUGGACUUCUAUCAAAUUCACUACUCUAUCAAAUCAUUAGAUGCAUCUGUUGCUUGCAAGGCUAUUAUUGUUAUAUUAUUAAAUUAUUAUGAUGAUGUGAUGCGUGGUGCACUCUCUCUUAAAUUUGGCAAGCUAAUUAUUUCCUUGAUAUAUUCUGCAGCCUGUACGUGACCAUUUCA